This 253-nucleotide ribosomal RNA is filed under the name uncultured bacterium. Its description in RNAcentral is "partial 16S ribosomal RNA". It matches the Rfam family "Bacterial small subunit ribosomal RNA", at positions 524 to 776 of the family's 1533-position model. The record is from RNAcentral.
UACGAAGGGGGCUAGCGUUGCUCGGAAUUACUGGGCGUAAAGGGCGCGUAGGCGGAUAGUUUAGUCAGAGGUGAAAUCCCCGGGCUCAACCUGGGAACUGCUUCCGAGACUGAACGACUAGAGAUCGGUAGAGGGCGGUGGAAUUUCCGGUGUAGCGGUGAAAUGCGUAGAUAUCGUAAGGAAGACCAGUGGCGAAGGCGGGUCUCUGGACAGUUCCUGACGCUGAGGCACGAAGGUCAGGGGAGCAAACGGG